AGUGAACGCUGGCGGUAGGCCUAACACAUGCAAGUCGAACGGCAGCACAGUAAGAGCUUGCUCUUACGGGUGGCGAGUGGCGGACGGGUGAGGAAUACAUCGGAAUCUACUUUUUCGUGGGGGAUAACGUAGGGAAACUUACGCUAAUACCGCAUACGACCUACGGGUGAAAGCAGGGGAUCUUCGGACCUUGCGCGAUUGAAUGAGCCGAUGUCGGAUUAGCUAGUUGGCGGUGUAAAGGCCCACCAAGGCGACGAUCCGUAGCUGGUCUGAGAGGAUGAUCAGCCACACUGGAACUGAGACACGGUCCAGACUCCUACGGGAGGCAGCAGUGGGGAAUAUUGGACAAUGGGCGCAAGCCUGAUCCAGCCAUACCGCGUGGGUGAAGAAGGCCUUCGGGUUGUAAAGCCCUUUUGUUGAGAAAGAAAAGCAGCAGGUUAAUACCCCGCUGUUCUGACGGUACCCAAAGAAUAAGCACCGGCUAACUUCGUG
Molecule: ribosomal RNA, 492 nt
Filed under: uncultured bacterium
Lineage: Bacteria
Description: partial 16S ribosomal RNA
Rfam family: Bacterial small subunit ribosomal RNA
Source: RNAcentral